This 493-nucleotide ribosomal RNA is filed under the name uncultured bacterium. Its description in RNAcentral is "bacterial SSU rRNA". It matches the Rfam family "Bacterial small subunit ribosomal RNA", at positions 29 to 512 of the family's 1533-position model. The record is from RNAcentral.
AUUGAACGCUGGCGGCAUGCCUUACACAUGCAAGUCGAACGGCAGCACGGGGGCAACCCUGGUGGCGAGUGGCGAACGGGUGAGUAAUGCAUCGGAACGUGCCCAGUAGUGGGGGAUAACUAGUCGAAAGAUUAGCUAAUACCGCAUACGACCUAUGGGUGAAAGCGGGGGAUUUUCGGGCAACCGAGAACCUCGCGCUAUCGGAGCGGCCGAUGUCUGAUUAGCAGUUGGCGGGGUAAAAGCCCACCAAGGCUUCGAUCAGUAGCUGGUCUGAGAGGACGACCAGCCACACUGGGACUGAGACACGGCCCAGACUCCUACGGGAGGCAGCAGUGGGGAAUUUUGGACAAUGGGCGCAAGCCUGAUCCAGCCAUGCCGCGUGCGGGAAGAAGGCCUUUGGGUUGUAACGCUUUGGCAGAACGAACGGCGCGAGCAAAUAUCUCGCGUUAAUGACGGUACCUGCAGAAUAAGCACCGGCUAACUACGUGCCAGC